Molecule: Y RNA, 97 nt
Filed under: Propithecus coquereli (Coquerel's sifaka)
Lineage: Eukaryota; Metazoa; Chordata; Mammalia; Primates; Indriidae
Description: Y RNA (ENSPCOG00000007762.1)
Rfam family: Y RNA
About the family: Y RNAs are components of the Ro ribonucleoprotein particle (Ro RNP), in association with Ro60 and La proteins. The Y RNAs and Ro60 and La proteins are well conserved, but the function of the Ro RNP is not known.
Source: Rfam by way of RNAcentral
GGCUGGUCUGAUGGUAGUGGGUUAAUAGAACUCAUUAACAUUAGUGUCACUAAAGUCGAUAUAUACCCCCCUACACUGCUAAAUUGACUGGAUUAAA